This 770-nucleotide ribosomal RNA is filed under the name fungal sp. SSD-CIB2. RNAcentral's name for it is "LSU rRNA". It matches the Rfam family "Eukaryotic large subunit ribosomal RNA", at positions 52 to 664 of the family's 3401-position model. Lineage: Eukaryota; Fungi. The record is from RNAcentral.
AUCGAGAAAGAAACUAACAAGGAUUCCCCUAGUAACGGCGAGUGAAGCGGGAAGAGCUCAAAUUUGAAAUCUUAAAGGAUUGUCCUUUACGAAUUGUAGUUUAUAGAAGUGUUUUCUGUUGAGGUUUCGGUAAAAGUUCUUUGGAAUAGGACAUCAUAGAGGGUGAGAAUCCCGUAUUUGACCGUUACUUCUCAGCUGUGUGAUACACUUUCAACGAGUCGGAUUGUUUGGGAAUGCAGUCCAAAAUGGGUGGUAAAUUUCAUCUAAAGCUAAAUAUUGGCGAGAGACCGAUAGCGAACAAGUACCGUGAGGGAAAGAUGAAAAGAACUUUGAAAAGAGAGUUAAACAGUACGUGAAAUUGUCAAAAGGGAAGCGUUUGACACCAGUGUUGUUUUCUCGAAAAUCAAUUCAAUAGUUUUUAAUUCUGAGUAGUCUUGACUUUAUCAGCUUGCUGCUCUCUUUUUGGAAAUUAUUGAAUGCACUUUUCGUUUAACAAGUCAACAUCAAUUUCUUUUGUUGUAAAAGAGUAAGAGGAAGGUGGCUUACGUUUCGGCGUAAGUGUUUAUAGCCUUUUACUUCUGCAAUCGGAGAGAUUGAGGUCUGCAGCGUAGAUCCUUCGGGGUUAGAUGCAUUUGUGCUAAGUUAUAGCCUUGUAUAGACAACUUGUUGACUAUACUCAGUCAUGUAGCUUACUCGCUUAUGUCAUUUUACCUACGCUUAGGAUGUUGACAAAAUGGUUUUAAACGACCGUCUAAAAAGGGACAACAAAA